This is a small nucleolar RNA of Phodopus roborovskii (desert hamster), 123 nucleotides long. RefSeq annotates it as small nucleolar RNA SNORA31. The transcript has a single exon. Lineage: Eukaryota; Metazoa; Chordata; Mammalia; Rodentia; Cricetidae. The record is from RefSeq and is a predicted model, not a curated record.
UUUCAUCCACUGGUAGACCUUGGACAGUUUGUGGUUGUUCUUCUGGUUUGAACUGGAAUGCCAAAGAAAAUGCGCUUUCUGCUUGUCUUUGUGGUAGUCCAGAUUGAGUUGGGGAAUACAUGU